Molecule: long non-coding RNA, 1419 nt
Filed under: Carassius auratus (goldfish)
Lineage: Eukaryota; Metazoa; Chordata; Actinopteri; Cypriniformes; Cyprinidae
Description: lncRNA (ENSCARG00000058990.1)
Source: RNAcentral
CCUACAUCUUAAAGACGAUUAAUUGUCUGUUUAAUAUGAGACAGAGAAAUGUUCUAAGAGAACUGCAAAAGAGCAAAUCACAUGAACAGACAUUUGAGUGAGAGAUGUGUGUAUUAUGUAGAAUCAACUGUCUACAUUGCUUUAGAUGAAUGUAAGUAAUGUAAAUAAAUCUACAUUAAGUAAACAUAAGUUAUCUAUUUCAUUUGAACAUUAGUGUUGUUGAUAAAUUGUGGAGCUCUUGUGUUGGAUAAAGUUAGUGAACACAUCAGCAUCUAUCUUAACAUGUAAAUGCAGUAUAUCACAGAUAAAUCACAGAGACUGACUCUUGUCUGGAUGUUACAGGGACAGAUGAGACACAUGUGUUUAUCUGCUGCAGAGAGACUGAUGAAGAAAUGCUGCCAUCAAAGAUUCUCAAUAUUUUGUGGUGGAGCAGGUGACCGCAGCAUCUGUGGAAAAAACCUUAAAGAAAAAUCCAAAGUAAGAUCAUUAUGCUACUUCUAAUACAGAAAUGAAGUGACACUGUGCUGUUAAAAUGACUGCUUUUGUUUUGUGUUUGUGCAUCUUUGUAGGAUCUGAAAUGUCUGCAGACUGCCGUGUGCACUGAAGAUGGAGUGUCAUGGGUGAAAUGCUCCAUCACUGCAUCUCCACUUGUUUUCUCAUCAGGACCAGAUGAUGAUGUGGUCUCUUCAUCUUCAGUGACCCCAGAGCCAGCGAGAACAUCUAGAGAAACACCAAAAGACACUGAGGAUGUGAUUUAGGUCAAGUUUGUUCUGUGGUUUCUGUUCAUACAACAUCAGUCAAUAAAGCCUGAGGUUCAGAAGUUUCUAAAGUAUCAUCAAAUAAUGUCAUGAAGAAUCUGAAAGUCAGGCUCCAUUGACUGAUACUGUAUGAACACAAACCAGCAGGAGAAACCGGACCAACAUCACCUUUUAUGUUCAGGCAAAGUAUUGAUCAGAAUGGAGGCAAGUCAUUAAUGACUGAAUUUAUAUGUUUAGAUGACCUGACCCUUUAAAACCCCAAAUAGAAACUGUAUUAAAUGUAUGCAUGCAUUAAUAUUAUAGUAGAACAUUGAAGAAAAGAAGCUUUAAGAAAUAAGCAGCUUUAUUAAGCAUUUUUCUGCCCAAGACACACAAAAAAAGCAUUCACAAAAUUCACAUUUACAUGUAUUAAUUUACCAGAGACUUUUAUCUGAAGUGACUUACAGUGCUGUUAUUACAGGAUCUCAAUCCCUCUGGAGUCACCUGGAGUAAAGACACACCGGUGGAGAUUGAACCAGAAACUGCUCACCAGUUCAGUUCACUAAAUCACAGAAAUAAUGAAGCUUUAUCAAAUUAACAUGCAAUUGUAAAAAUAUCAAAUUUAAUUCAGCAAUAAAUAGAAUGCUGACAACAUGACAAAGUGUUUUACUCUGUGUAAGUG